GACGAACGCUGGCGGCGUGCUUAACGCAUGCAAGUCGAACGGAAAGGCCCUGCUUUUGUGGGGUGCUCGAGUGGCAAACGGGUGAGUAACACGUGAGUAACCUGCCCUUGACUUUGGGAUAACUUCAGGAAACUGGGGCUAAUACCGGAUAGGAGCUCCUGCUGCAUGGUGGGGGUUGGAAAGUUUCGGCGGUUGGGGAUGGACUCGCGGCUUAUCAGCUUGUUGGUGGGGUAGUGGCUUACCAAGGCUUUGACGGGUAGCCGGCCUGAGAGGGUGACCGGCCACAUUGGGACUGAGAUACGGCCCAGACUCCUACGGGAGGCAGCAGUGGGGAAUAUUGCACAAUGGGCGGAAGCCUGAUGCAGCAACGCCGCGUGCGGGAUGACGGCCUUCGGGUUGUAAACCGCUUUCGCCUGUGACGAAGCGUGAGUGACGGUAAUGGGUAAAGAAGCACCGGCUAACUACGUG
RNAcentral lists this ribosomal RNA (468 nucleotides) under uncultured bacterium. Its description in RNAcentral is "partial 16S ribosomal RNA". It matches the Rfam family "Bacterial small subunit ribosomal RNA", at positions 28 to 507 of the family's 1533-position model. The record is from RNAcentral.